This 253-nucleotide unclassified non-coding RNA is filed under the name uncultured cyanobacterium. RNAcentral describes it as "contains 16S-23S intergenic spacer region". It matches the Rfam family "Bacterial small subunit ribosomal RNA", at positions 524 to 776 of the family's 1533-position model. Lineage: Bacteria; Bacillati; Cyanobacteriota. The record is from RNAcentral.
UACGUAGGAUGCAAGCGUUGUCCGGAAUUAUUGGGCGUAAAGAGAACGUAGGCGGUUUGUUAAGUCUGCGCUUAAAGACUGAGGCUCAACCUCAGGAGUGGCGUGGAUACUGGCAGACUUGAGGACGUCAGAGGAAGGUGGAAUUCCCAGUGUAGCGGUGAAAUGCGUAGAUAUUGGGAGGAACACCAGUGGCGAAAGCGACCUUCUGGGACGUUACUGACGCUGAGGUUCGAAAGCUCGGGGAGCAAACAGG